Molecule: ribosomal RNA, 407 nt
Filed under: uncultured bacterium
Lineage: Bacteria
Description: partial 16S ribosomal RNA
Rfam family: Bacterial small subunit ribosomal RNA
Source: RNAcentral
AUUGAACGCUGGCGGCAGGCCUAACACAUGCAAGUCGAGCGGAGCGGCGGACGGGUGAGUAAUGCCUAGGAAUCUGCCUGGUAGUGGGGGAUGACGUCCGGAAUCGGGCGCUAAUACCGCAUACUAUCAGAUGAGCCUAGGGCGGAUGGGCUUGUUGGUGGGGUGAAGGCCUACCAGGGCGACGAGCCGGAACUGGUCUGAGAGGAUGAGCAGUCAAACUGGAACUGAGAGACGGUCCAGACUCCUACGGGAGGCAGCAGUGGGGAAGAUUGGACAAUGGGAGAAAGCCUGAUCCAGCCAUGCCGCGUGGGUGAGGAAGGUCUUAGGAUUGUAAGGCACUUUAAGUUGGGAGGCGUUACGAACAGAAGAAGCACCGGCUAACUUCGUGCCAGCCGCCGCGGUAAUAC